UAGGGAAUCUUCGGCAAUGGGGGGAACCCUGACCGAGCAACGCCGCGUGAGUGAAGAAGGUUUUCGGAUCGUAAAGCUCUGUUGUUAAGGAAGAACGAGUGUGAGAAUGGAAAGUUCAUACUGUGACGGUACUUAACCAGAAAGGGACGGCUAACUACGUGCCAGCAGCCGCGGUAAUAAGUAGGUCCCGAGCGUUGUCCGGAUUUAUUGGGCGUAAAGCGUGCGCAGGCGGUUAGAUACGUCUGAAGUUAAAGGCAGUGGCUCAACCAUUGUAGGCUUUGGAUACUGUUUAACUUGAGUGCAGAAGGGGAGAGUGGAAUUCCAUGUGUAGCGGUGAAUUGCGUAGAUAGAUGGAGGAACACCGGUGGCGAAAGCGGCUCUCUGGUCUGUAACUGACGCUGAGGCUCGAAAGCGUGGGGAGCGAACAGG
RNAcentral lists this ribosomal RNA (429 nucleotides) under Bacteroidota bacterium. Its description in RNAcentral is "Bacteroidetes bacterium partial 16S ribosomal RNA". It matches the Rfam family "Bacterial small subunit ribosomal RNA", at positions 355 to 776 of the family's 1533-position model. Lineage: Bacteria; Pseudomonadati; Bacteroidota. The record is from RNAcentral.